CCUACGGGAGGCAGCAGUAGGGAAUCUUGCGCAAUGGAGGAAAGCCUGAUCCAGUAACGCCGCGUGAGUGAAGAAGGAUUUCGGUAUGUAAAGCUCUAUUAGCAGAGAAGAAAAUGACAGUACCUGACUAAGAAUCCCCGGCUAACUACGAGCCAGCAGCCGCGGUAAUACGUAGGGGGCAAGCGUUAGCCGGAUUUACUGGGUGUAAAGUGAGCGUAGACGGCUGCGCAAGUCAGAAGUGAAAGCCCGGGGCUCAACCGCGGGACUGCAUUUGAAACUGUGUGGCUUGAGUGCAGGAGAGGUAAGUGGAAUUCCUAGUGUAGCGGUGAAAUGCGUAGAUAUUAGGAGGAACACCGGUGGCGAAGGCGGCUUACUGGACUGUAACUGACGUUGAGGCUCGAAAGCGUGGGGAGCAAACAGGAUUAGAUACCCGUGUAGUC
This 440-nucleotide ribosomal RNA is filed under the name uncultured bacterium. RNAcentral describes it as "partial 16S ribosomal RNA". It matches the Rfam family "Bacterial small subunit ribosomal RNA", at positions 338 to 795 of the family's 1533-position model. The record is from RNAcentral.